RNAcentral lists this ribosomal RNA (271 nucleotides) under uncultured bacterium. Its description in RNAcentral is "partial 16S ribosomal RNA". It matches the Rfam family "Bacterial small subunit ribosomal RNA", at positions 82 to 354 of the family's 1533-position model. The record is from RNAcentral.
CCUUUGCCGGCGACCGGCGCACGGGUGAGUAACACGUAUGCAACCUGCCCUCUUCAGGGGGACAACCUUCCGAAAGGGAGGCUAAUCCCGCGUAUAUCGGUUUCGGGCAUCCGAGAUCGAGGAAAGAUUCAUCGGAAGAGGAUGGGCAUGCGGCGCAUUAGCUAGACGGCGGGGUAACGGCCCACCGUGGCGACGAUGCGUAGGGGUUCUGAGAGGAAGGUCCCCCACACUGGUACUGAGACACGGACCAAACUCCUACGGAAGGCAGCAG